GACGAACGCUGGCGGCGUGCCUAAUACAUGCAAGUCGAACGAGAGCGACCGGUGCUUGCACUGGUCAAUCUAGUGGCGAACGGGUGAGUAACACGUGGGUAACCUGCCCAUCAGAGGGGGAUAACAUCCGGAAACGGAUGCUAAAACCGCAUAGGUCCUUUAACCGCAUGGUUGAAGGAGGAAAAGAGGCGCAAGCUUCUGCUGAUGGAUGGACCCGCGGUGCAUUAGCUAGUUGGUGAGGUAACGGCUCACCAAGGCCGUGAUGCAUAGCCGACCUGAGAGGGUGAUCGGCCACAUUGGGACUGAGACACGGCCCAAACUCCUACGGGAGGCAGCAGUAGGGAAUCUUCCGCAAUGGACGCAAGUCUGACGGAGCAACGCCGCGUGAGUGAAGAAGGUUUUCGGAUCGUAAAACUCUGUUGUUAGAGAAGAACAAGUGCUAGAGUAACUGUUAGCGCCUUGACGGUAUCUAACCAGAAAGCCACGGCUAACUACGUGCCAGCAGCCGCGGUAAUACGUAGGUGGCAAGCGUUGUCCGGAUUUAUUGGGCGUAAAGCGAGCGCAGGCGGUUCCUUAAGUCUGAUGUGAAAGCCCCCGGCUCAACCGGGGAGGGUCAUUGGAAACUGGGGAACUUGAGUGCAGAAGAGGAGAGUGGAAUUCCAUGUGUAGCGGUGAAAUGCGUAGAUAUAUGGAGGAACACCAGUGGCGAAGGCGACUCUCUGGUCUGUAACUGACGCUGAGGCUCGAAAGCGUGGGUAGCAAACAGG
RNAcentral lists this ribosomal RNA (767 nucleotides) under uncultured Granulicatella sp. RNAcentral describes it as "bacterial SSU rRNA". It matches the Rfam family "Bacterial small subunit ribosomal RNA", at positions 28 to 776 of the family's 1533-position model. Lineage: Bacteria; Bacillati; Bacillota; Bacilli; Lactobacillales; Carnobacteriaceae. The record is from RNAcentral.